This 523-nucleotide long non-coding RNA is filed under the name Cucumis sativus (cucumber). RNAcentral describes it as "long non-coding RNA (CSAT_LNC001803)". Lineage: Eukaryota; Viridiplantae; Streptophyta; Magnoliopsida; Cucurbitales; Cucurbitaceae. The record is from RNAcentral.
UGUGUUUGAUAUUUUCUCCAUCCCUUCUCACUUUGCCCAACCUCCUUCCCUUCUUCUACCACGUCCACUUGUCCUUGUUGCUAUUGUUUGACUUUUAUUAUCUACUUCAACAAGAGAACAAUUCUUGUGCUUGAGCUUUAGGCCAUUUCAACAAAUCUUGUACUUUGACAAACUCCCAUAUGCUCGUUUAGCGUGAAUGAGAAAAUUUGAGAGAGGAACACAAGAAGUUGCUUUAAUGAAAGGAAAGAGAAAAAGGAACACGAGGAUUUGGAGGGAGAAGCUCAAGCGAGAGGGAUAUAGAAAUGUUAAUAGUACAAUAAAAGUUAAAUCAACUCAUUCAUGCAAAAUAAAAAGAAAAAUGGACUUCAUAGGCACAUGUUGAGGAUUUACGUGAAGGAAAAAUGAACCGAUUCUACAUUCUUUAUAGUAUAUAUUUUAGUUAUUACUCUUCUUAUUUUCAAGUAAACUCAUAUAUAUAGGAUACAAAAUCACAAGAAGCCAACAUAUGGUGCACAUUAUAACG